RNAcentral lists this ribosomal RNA (460 nucleotides) under uncultured bacterium. RNAcentral describes it as "partial 16S ribosomal RNA". It matches the Rfam family "Bacterial small subunit ribosomal RNA", at positions 338 to 795 of the family's 1533-position model. The record is from RNAcentral.
CCUACGGGAGGCAGCAGUGAGGAAUAUUGGUCAAUGGACGAGAGUCUGAACCAGUCAAGUAGCGUGAAGGAUGACUGCCCUAUGGGUUGUAAACUUCUUUUAUAUGGGAAUAAAAUGUUCCACGUGUGGGAUUUUGUAUGUACCAUAUGAAUAAGGAUCGGCUAACUCCGUGCCAGCAGCCGCGGUACUACGGAGGGUCCGAGCGUUAUCCGGAUUUAUUGGGUUUAAAGGGAGCGUAGGUGGUUUGUUAAGUCAGUUGUGAAAGUUUGCGGCUCAACCGUAAGAUUGCAGUUGAAACUGGCAGUCGUGAGUACAGUAGAGGUGGGCGGAAUUCGUGGUGUAGCGGUGAAAUGCUUAGAUAUCACGAAGAACUCCGAUUGCGAAGGCAGCUCACUGGACUGCAACUGACACUGAGGCUCGAAAGUGUGGGUAUCAAACAGGAUUAGAUACCCCUGUAGUC